This 741-nucleotide ribosomal RNA is filed under the name Lamellaria sp. MNHN-IM-2013-79991. Its description in RNAcentral is "partial large subunit ribosomal RNA". The stretch from base 1 to 580 matches the Rfam family "Bacterial large subunit ribosomal RNA", at positions 1815 to 2925 of the family's 2925-position model. The record is from RNAcentral. Lineage: Eukaryota; Metazoa; Mollusca; Gastropoda; Littorinimorpha; Velutinidae.
AUGGCUCUUUGAAAAUAUAUAAUAAAGAGUCUAGCCUGCCCAGUGGUUAGUUUAACGGCCGCGGUACUCUGACCGUGCGAAGGUAGCAUAAUCAUUUGUCUUAUAAUUGAAGUCUGGAAUGAAUGGUUUAACAAGAGCUAAACUGUCUCUAUUAAUAGGAUAAAAUUUUAUGAUUAAGUUAAAAAGCUUAAAUAUAAUUAAAAGACGAGAAGACCCUAUCGAGUUUAAGGAAAAUAAUUAAAAUUUUUAACAUUGAUGAAUACUAAAUAUUUAAUAAAACUUUAGUUGGGGCGAUUCAGGAACAAAUAAAGCUUCUUGUAAUUAAAAUCUAUUGGUAAAUACACGAUCCAUAAUUUGUGAUUAAAAGAAUUAAUUACCGUAGGGAUAACAGCAUUAUCUUUUUUGAGAGCUCAAAUCGAAAAAAAUGUUUGUGACCUCGAUGUUGGACCAAGAUAUCCUGAAGAUGUAGAAGUCUUUAAAGGUUGGUCUGUUCGACCAUUAAAAUCUUACGUGAUCUGAGUUCAGACCGGCGUGAGCCAGGUUGGUUUCUAUCUUUUAUUUAUUUAAUAAAUUUAGUACGAAAGGACCAAUUUAUUUUAUGCUUGUAAAAAUAAAGAUUAAGUAUAAUAAAAGUAUAGAAUAUUAUAAAGAUGGCAGAAUAAUAUGCAUUAGAUUUAAGCUCUAAAGAUGAAAGUUAAAUACUUUUUCUUUAUAUAAAAGUGGCAGAGUAAAGUGCAUUAG